AGUGAACGCUGGCGGUAGGCCUAACACAUGCAAGUCGAACGGCAGCACAGUAAGAGCUUGCUCUUACGGGUGGCGAGUGGCGGACGGGUGAGGAAUACAUCGGAAUCUACUUUUUCGUGGGGGAUAACGUAGGGAAACUUACGCUAAUACCGCAUACGACCUACGGGUGAAAGCAGGGGAUCUUCGGACCUUGCGCGAUUGAAUGAGCCGAUGUCGGAUUAGCUAGUUGGCGGGGUAAAGGCCCACCAAGGCGACGAUCCGUAGCUGGUCUGAGAGGAUGAUCAGCCACACUGGAACUGAGACACGGUCCAGACUCCUUCGGGAGGCAGCAGUGGGGAAUAUUGGACAAAGGGCGCAAGCCUGAUCCAGCCAUACCGCGUGGGUGAAGAAGGCCUUCGGGUUGUAAAGCCCUUUUGUUGGGAAAGAAAAGCAGCAGGUUAAUACCCCGCUGUUCUGACGGUACCCAAAGAAUAAGCACCGGCUAACUUCGUG
Molecule: ribosomal RNA, 492 nt
Filed under: uncultured bacterium
Lineage: Bacteria
Description: partial 16S ribosomal RNA
Rfam family: Bacterial small subunit ribosomal RNA
Source: RNAcentral